AGUCACUGACAUUAUACCCGCGUAGUCCAGGGUGUAAACGCUGCAGACUUGGUGUUGGGAACCCUUCGGGGGUGCUCAGUGCCGGAGAGAAGUUGUUAAGUCUGCUACUUGGGAGUACGUCCGCAAGGAUGAAACUUAAAGGAAUUGGCGGGGGAGCACCGCAACGGGAGGAGCGUGCGGUUUAAUUGGAUUCAACGCCGAAAACUCACCAGCAGCGACUGUUACAUGAAAGUCAGGUUGAUGACCUUACUAGAUUUUCAG
Molecule: ribosomal RNA, 261 nt
Filed under: uncultured archaeon
Lineage: Archaea
Description: partial 16S ribosomal RNA
Rfam family: Archaeal small subunit ribosomal RNA
Source: RNAcentral